Molecule: long non-coding RNA, 1094 nt
Filed under: Dasypus novemcinctus (nine-banded armadillo)
Lineage: Eukaryota; Metazoa; Chordata; Mammalia; Cingulata; Dasypodidae
Description: lncRNA (ENSDNOG00000049841.1)
Source: RNAcentral
GAACGAAUAUUUAGGAGGUUUUUGCAACAUCUAGGUGAGAGGUUAGUGGUUUGGAGCAAAGUGGUGGGAAUGAAACUGGUGAAAAGUAGUUGAAUCCUGGCUAUAUUUUGUAAGUGGAAACAUUAUAUAUUAUUUCAGGCUAUUGUAAAACCACUUUUCACACAUUCUUCCUUCUUCGCAUUGAUUAGAUACUUCACACACGAGCAAAAGAACAUUCCAAGUUAAUUCAAUUCUAUUUCUCUAGAGUGAUACUUUUCUGAAAGGAAUAAAUCUGCCGUUGGUUUGUUGUAUGAAUUUUAAAAACUAUUAUCUUUCCUCUUUAGUCAAAUAAAACAUUAACCAGAAGUAUCUGGAACAUCUUAGGUGCCCAAUAAAUUUUUGUCGAAUGAAUGAAAGAUUGAAAGAUUUAAGUAGUAUGUUUAGUAUAUUUUUUAAAUGUAGGAAUGUCUCUUCUUAUUUAUUUAUCUUUUUUUUUUUUUUUUUUUGGUAAUUUCUUUCUGAAGGAGUUUGACUGGCCAAUAGAAGGCCUGCUUGUUCCGAACAGUCCUCCCAUGAAGAAACCCAUCUAUAAGACACCAGAGCAAUAUGUUCCUGUGAGACUCAGAGUUUUGCGGAAUGGAGAUAAAAAUAAAAACAGAGCACUAAUUAUAAUUGGUCCAGACAUCUCACCUAGACGGAAAACACAAAAUGUUGACACUGAAAGGAAAGAGAAUGUGAAAAUCCAUGUCACUCAAUAUUCUGAAACAGGAACAAACCAGGCUGAAUUUCACCAACUUUUGGAGAGGUAAAUAUUUAAUAUUUUAAAUGCAAAGGUAUUUUCCAUUCAAAUGCUUGAAUGAUUACGUAUAAAGCAUCGCACACAUCAUGUCUAUGUACCUUCAUUAGAAAACAAUUGUUAAUACAAUGAUUCUGGAGUUUUUAAUCUGUGAAAUACAUAAACUAUGUGACAGUCUGUGAUACCAAUGCUAAUAAAUCUAUUUAUUUUUUUCAAAUGUCAGGGUCUAGCAAGUUCCUCUUACCAACUCUGUAAAUAUAAAUUAUUUACAUCUUUAUAUAUUUCAUAGUGUUAUACCAUUUUAUUUGGUUUAUAUUUG